Molecule: ribosomal RNA, 493 nt
Filed under: uncultured bacterium
Lineage: Bacteria
Description: partial 16S ribosomal RNA
Rfam family: Bacterial small subunit ribosomal RNA
Source: RNAcentral
GAGUGAACGCUGGCGGUAGGCCUAACACAUGCAAGUCGAACGGCAGCACAGUAAGAGCUUGCUCUUACGGGUGGCGAGUGGCGGACGGGUGAGGAAUACAUCGGAAUCUACUUUUUCGUGGGGGAUAACGUAGGGAAACUUACGCUAAUACCGCAUACGACCUACGGGUGAAAGCAGGGGAUCUUCGGACCUUGCGCGAUUGAAUGAGCCGAUGUCGGAUUAGCUAGUUGGCGGGGUAAAGGCCCACCAAGGCGACGAUCCGUAGCUGGUCUGAGAGGAUGAUCAGCCAAACUUGAACCGAGAAACGGUCCAGACUCCUAAGGGAGGGAGCCGUGGGGAAUAGUGGACAAUGGGGGCAAGCCCUAACCAGCCAUACCGCGUGGGUUAAGAAGGGCUUUGGGUUGGAAAGCCCUUUUGUUGGGAAAGAAAAGCAGCAGGUUAAUACCCCGCUUGUCUGACGGUACCCAAAGAAUAAGCACCGGCUAACUUCGUG